CAGGGUAUUAGUGGAUCUCCUGGCGGACCAGGAAGAGAUGGACCAGUUGGACAGAGGGGCCUGCCUGGGAAGGAUGGACCACAAGGACAGCAGGGUACUACAGGGCCCGUUGGCAGUCCUGGGGCCCCGGGGCCCCUGGUGGAAGUGGAUCUCCUGGACCCCUGGGAGACCAGGGACCACCUGGCUCUGCUGGUACCAAAGGAGACAAGGGUGAACGGGGAGUCCUGCAGUCUCAAGCUACCGUCAGGGCCUUAGCACGCCAAGUGUGUGAGCAACUGAUUCAGAGUCACCUGUCUCGCUACAGCUCCAUCCUGAACCAGAUCCCCAGCCAGUCAGUGUCUGUGAGGACGGUACCAGGACCUCCAGGAGAGCCCGGUCGCAGGGGUCUGCCAGGGCCACAGGGAGAGGGGGGCCCCACAGGCAGACCAGGGUUCCCUGGGACCAACGGACAGGAUGGACGACCGGGGGAGAGAGGUACAGUACGGUGUUUAUACAUCAUUAU
Non-coding RNA from Salmo salar (Atlantic salmon), 502 nucleotides. The record is from RefSeq and is a predicted model, not a curated record. NCBI's taxonomy places the organism in Eukaryota, Metazoa, Chordata, Actinopteri, Salmoniformes, Salmonidae.